Gadus macrocephalus (Pacific cod) is the source of this 483-nucleotide long non-coding RNA. RefSeq lists it as uncharacterized. The transcript has 3 exons. The record is from RefSeq and is a predicted model, not a curated record. NCBI's taxonomy places the organism in Eukaryota, Metazoa, Chordata, Actinopteri, Gadiformes, Gadidae.
GGUUUCUGUGCAACGUCAUCGCAGAUGUGCGCGCGCAGCCAGGGGGCAGAAAGCGGGACAUUUGUCAUUUGUUUACCAGCGGAGUCAGCGGAGAACGAAAAUGACAAGGAGCUGUUGUGCUGUAAACUGCACGAAUCGGCAAAAGGAUGGAUGGAAACUGUUUAAUAUCCCGAGAGGAUCUCAUCCUUUUGCCAAGAGAAGAAGAAGAUUGUGGCUCCAGGCCAUUAAAAGGGCGGAUUGGCCGUCCCGAAGGUCCUAAAGGCGGCGAGAGUCUGUGCAGCGCCCACUUCGUUUCUGGGUCACCGUCCAUGGAUUGUGAUAGUCCAGAUUUUGUUCCAUCCGUUUUUUCACACAGCAGCAACUGAGACAUCUCGGGAAAGGUGGCAAGAUAUGAAAGAAAGAGAAUAAGAGAUGAAGAUAAGGCCCCUGCUACCUGCCCCACAAGCCAGCCUGAAGCAGAUACUGCAGAUUCUUCUGAAGGUA